UCAUUUCUGAGCAAUGGCGCUAUGGCGUUGGUUAGUUGUAAAUAUUGUAAGGUUAGAGAAGAAUAUUACAAGAUUGAAGGCACAGAGGAAGAUAGAAUUUUGCCCACACCAUCUACAGUGAUUUCACCCAUCCAAGGAUAUGUUGGUCCCGAAAAUCCAUACCACUCGGUAUAUAUGAUGCCUCCAAAUACGUAUCCAAAUCUAUAUUUGUAUAAUUGGGAUAGCCAGCAUCCGCCAACUAUUUCCUAUCCUCCAUUGAGUAAUCCGGAAGAGUUUAGAUGAUUUCAAGAGACUACCCAGCAUCCUCCAACUAUGUCCUACCCUCCGUCGAGUAAUCCGGAGUGAUUCCAAGAGACCCCCCAACUGUGCCUAAUGAAAGUGAAAAGAAUGUUCCAAGCAUAUCACACAUGAAUGCUUUGGAGGUGGAGGGGAGUAAUGAAGUAUCGAAUGCGGAUGAGACUAAUGAAGAAUUAGAGGCUGAGGAGACUAAUGAAGUAUCGCAUGAUGAUGAUGAUGAAUGAGUUGAAGAGUCGAAAUCUGAUGUGUUGGUACUGAUCAUGUAUAACUGAAGAAGACAUGAAUGCAAGUUUGAUGUGUCAUUACAUGGAGGAUGUACUGGUUUUGGAGCAUUUUUUUUGUUGGAAAGUUUGUACCAAUGUUUUGGUUGUGCAGUUCUGGGGGAGUUGGUACCAUUGUGUAGAUGAUUGUUUGGUUGUGAAUAUUUGGAGUGUUGUAGGAAAAAAAAAAGUCUCAAACUCCAUAUUGUGUAGAUGAUUGUUUGUUGUGAAUGGAAGGGAAUGAACUUUGUAUAA
Long non-coding RNA from Juglans regia (Persian walnut), 812 nucleotides. RefSeq lists it as uncharacterized. NCBI's taxonomy places the organism in Eukaryota, Viridiplantae, Streptophyta, Magnoliopsida, Fagales, Juglandaceae. The record is from RefSeq and is a predicted model, not a curated record. The transcript has 5 exons.